RNAcentral lists this unclassified non-coding RNA (281 nucleotides) under Hevea brasiliensis (rubber tree). Lineage: Eukaryota; Viridiplantae; Streptophyta; Magnoliopsida; Malpighiales; Euphorbiaceae. The record is from RNAcentral.
CUUCUCUGCAUUUCAUUGUCUGUAUAUGGAAUUUGAAAACAAUCUAACUGAACCAAGCAAUUGAGAUUUUUUUUUUAAAUUGUUAUUUGAUUUUAUUGUGUUAUCCAGUAAUCAGGUGAGAUAGUAAGCUGUUUUUUAAUUUGAAAUUUGAUUCAACAUAAUGUAAGAUAGUCUAUUAGUAUGGUGGUCUUACCCUAAUUGUGGUGCUAUAGGGAAUGACCAAUAGGCUUUGCUAGUUUAUGACCUUUUGUCUAUCAGGUGAGAAGGGAAGAAGGAUCAGG